GACCGAGGAGGCAAGCGUUGUUCGGAAUUACUGGGCGUAAAGAGCGUGUAGGCGGCCCGCAAAGUGCGGUGUGAAAGCCCGGGGCUCACCCCCGGAAGUGCGCUGGAAACUGCCCGACUAGAGGAUGGGAGAGGUAAGUGGAACUCCUGGUGGAGCGGUGAAAUGCGUAGAGAUCAGGAGGAACGCCGGCGGCGAAGGCGGCGUCCUGGGCCAAUACUGACGAUGAGACGCGAAAGAGUGGGGAGCAAACAGG
Molecule: ribosomal RNA, 253 nt
Filed under: uncultured bacterium
Lineage: Bacteria
Description: partial 16S ribosomal RNA
Rfam family: Bacterial small subunit ribosomal RNA
Source: RNAcentral